UUCAAGUGAAACCAUAAGUUUCCGCAUUCAACUUUGAUCGUCCGUCUUAUUUGAAAUUUUUUUAUAAUUAAUAUUUUUGUUGUUAUGAGAUAAUAAAACAUGAAUAAUACUUUACUCGUGACUUAUGUUUUUAUUUUUUUAAAACAAAUUUCAAACAAGACGGACGGUCAGAGUUAGACGUGGAAAACCAUGGCUACACAUAAA
Molecule: microRNA precursor, 204 nt
Organism: Oryza sativa Indica Group (long-grained rice)
Lineage: Eukaryota; Viridiplantae; Streptophyta; Magnoliopsida; Poales; Poaceae
Rfam family: MIR812 microRNA precursor family
Source: Rfam